UUGCUUGUUUCAGCAGCACAUAUACUAAAAAUUUGACAACACAGUGAAGAUUAGAAUGACCUCUGCAUAAGAAUGACCUUGCAACUCAGUGAAGUAUUCCAUAUUUUC
RNAcentral lists this small nuclear RNA (108 nucleotides) under Carlito syrichta (Philippine tarsier). The record is from RNAcentral. Lineage: Eukaryota; Metazoa; Chordata; Mammalia; Primates; Tarsiidae.